This is a non-coding RNA of Kogia breviceps (pygmy sperm whale), 1290 nucleotides long. Lineage: Eukaryota; Metazoa; Chordata; Mammalia; Artiodactyla; Physeteridae. The record is from RefSeq and is a predicted model, not a curated record.
GCACACGCAACAGUUAGGGGGGACCGCACACGUAUCUGGACACUGACAAGGACCCGUAGAGACAGUUUAACAAAUCGUAACUAGUAUUUAUAGGGUGCUCAGUGGGGGUCCAGAGCUUUACCUUAACUACCUCAGGUAAUCGUUACAAUAACUCUGUGUGGUGUCCUGUUAUUACUGGCAUUUUACAAGCGGGAAACUGAGGCGUGAAGGAGGAGAUCAUCCCCUGUUUUCAUCCUCCCAGUGAAUGAUACCACUAAAGCCUGGAGUUUUGGGGCUAUCCUGUGUGGCAUGGGGGAUCUUAGUUCCCCAACCAGGGAUCAAACCUAUGCCCCCUGCAUUGGGAGCACAGAGUCUUAACCACUGGAGUGCCAGGGAAGUAAGUCCCCUAUAGCGCUUUUUUGGUUGUUGUUGAAUUUUAUUUUAUUUAUUUUUUGUACGGCAGGUUCUUAUUAGUUACCUAUUUUAUACAUAUUAGUGUAUAUAUGUCAAUCCCAAUCUCCCAGUUCAUCACACCCCCAACCCCACCCCCAUAGCCCUUUUAAAAUUAGUGUGUCAUUUAAGAAUGUUUAUAUCAUGUAAAUCGUAUCUCUGAUAAGGGGUUAACAUCCAGAAUAUAUAAAGAACUCCCACAACUCAUCAAAAAACCCAAACAACACAGUUUAAAAAUGGGCAAAGGACUUGAAUAGACAUUUCUCCAGAGAAGAAAUACAAAUGUCCAAUAAGCACAUGAAAAGAUGUGCUUUUAUAUCAUUAACAUUAGAGAAAUGCAAAUAAAAACCACAAUGAAAUUCUAACACAUCGACUGGGACAGCUAUUAUAAAAAUAAACAAAACACAGAAGAUAGCAGCUGUUGACUAGGAUGUGGAGAAAUUGGAAUCCUUUUGAAUAACUGGUGGAAUGUAAAAUGUUGCAGGCCCUCAAACCAAAAGACGUAGGGACUUCCCUGGUGGCGCAACGGUUAAGAAUCCGUCUGCCAAUGCAUGGGACACAGGUUCAAUCCCUGGUCCAGGAAGAUCCCACAUGCUGUGGAGCAACUAAGCCCGUGAGCCACAACUACUGAGCCCACUCACCACAACUCCAGAAGUCCGUGCACACUAGGGCCCACGUGCCGCAACUACUGAACCCACAUGCUGCAACUGCUAAAACCUGCAUGCCUAGAGUCCGUGCCCCGCAACAAGAGAAGCCACUGCAAUGAGAAGCCUGUGCACCGCAACGAAGAGUAGCCCUCCACUCAGCUCAACUAGAGAAAGCCCGUGCACAGCAGUGAAGACCCAAUGCAGCCAAAAAAAA